Molecule: ribosomal RNA, 556 nt
Filed under: uncultured Acidobacteriota bacterium
Lineage: Bacteria; Pseudomonadati; Acidobacteriota
Description: bacterial SSU rRNA
Rfam family: Bacterial small subunit ribosomal RNA
Source: RNAcentral
GGCGGCGUGCCUAACACAUGCAAGUCGAACGCGAAAGCCCUUUCGGGGGUAAGUAGAGUGGCGUCCGGGUGAGUAACACGUGGGUAAUCUGCCUUCGGGAGGGGAAUAACCCAGGGAAACUUGGGCUAAUACCGCAUAAUGCAGCGGCACCUAAUGGUGAUUAGUUGUUAAAGCGGGGGAUCGCAAGACCUCGCGCCUGAAGAGGAGCCUGCGGCAGAUUAGCUAGUUGGUGAGGUAAUGGCCCACCAAGGCUUCGAUCUGUAGCUGGUCUGAGAGGACGGCCAGCCACACUGGCACUGACACACGGGCCAGACUCCUACGGGAGGCAGCAGUGGGGAAUUUUGGGCAAUGGGCGAAAGCCUGACCCAGCAACGCCGCGUGAGGGAGGAAAUCCUUCGGGAUGUAAACCUCACAAGCAAGGGAAGAGAGCUACGGGCUGAAUAAUCCCGUAGUGCGACGGUACCUUGCGUAAGCCACGGCUAACUAUGUGCCAGCAGCCGCGGUAAUACGUAGGUGGCAAGCGUUGUUCGGAAUUAUUGGGCGUAAAGGGCGCGUA